Molecule: ribosomal RNA, 590 nt
Filed under: uncultured Burkholderia sp.
Lineage: Bacteria; Pseudomonadati; Pseudomonadota; Betaproteobacteria; Burkholderiales; Burkholderiaceae
Description: bacterial SSU rRNA
Rfam family: Bacterial small subunit ribosomal RNA
Source: RNAcentral
UCGGGUUGUAAAGCACUUUUGUCCGGAAAGAAAACUUCUGCAUUGAUACUGCGGGAGGAUGACGGUACCGGAAGAAUAAGCACCGGCUAACUACGUGCCAGCAGCGCGGUAAUCGUAGGGUGCGAGCGUUAAUCGGAAUUACUGGGCGUAAAGCGUGCGCAGGCGGUUCGUUAAGACAGAUGUGAAAUCCCCGGGCUUAACCUGGGAACUGCAUUUGUGACUGGCGAGCUAGAGUAUGGCAGAGGGGGGUAGAAUUCCACGUGUAGCAGUGAAAUGCGUAGAGAUGUGGAGGAAUACCGAUGGCGAAGGCAGCCCCCUGGGCCAAUACUGACGCUCAUGCACGAAAGCGUGGGGAGCAAACAGGAUUAGAUACCCUGGUAGUCCACGCCCUAAACGAUGUCAACUAGUUGUUGAGGAUUCAUUUCCUUAGUAACGUAGCUAACGCGUGAAGUUGACCGCCUGGGGAGUACGGUCGCAAGAUUAAAACUCAAAGGAAUUGACGGGGACCCGCACAAGCGGUGGAUGAUGUGGAUUAAUUCGAUGCAACGCGAAAAACCUUACCUACCCUUGACAUGGUCGGAACCCUGCUG